This is a non-coding RNA of Myotis lucifugus (little brown bat), 75 nucleotides long. Lineage: Eukaryota; Metazoa; Chordata; Mammalia; Chiroptera; Vespertilionidae. The record is from Rfam.
GGUAGUUCUCAGGUGACGCACCCCAGAAUCGGGCUUCCUCCUCUCUGGUUCCGAGUGCGUCACUUGAGAACCACA